UGGGGAAUAUUGCGCAAUGGGCGAAAGCCUGACGCAGCAACGCCGCGUGAGUGAUGAAGGCCUUCGGGUUGUAAAGCUCUUUCGGCCGGGAAGAAGGGUGUUGGUUCUAAUAAAGCUAACAUUUGAUGGUACCGGAAGAAGAAGCACCGGCUAACUUCGUGCCAGCAGCCGCGGUAAUACGAAGGGUGCGAGCGUUGUUCGGAAUUAUUGGGCGUAAAGGGUUCGUAGGCUGGAAAUUAAGUCAAGUGUGAAAUCCCCGAGCUUAACUUGGGACGUGCAUUUGAAACUGGUUUUCUUGAGUAUCGGAGAGGGUGGUAGAAUUGCUGGUGUAGGAGUGACAUCCGUAGAGAUCAGCAGGAAUACCGGAGGCGAAAGCGACUGCCUGGCCGAGAACUGACGCUGAGGAACGAAAGCGUGGGGAGCAAACA
RNAcentral lists this ribosomal RNA (428 nucleotides) under uncultured bacterium. RNAcentral describes it as "partial 16S ribosomal RNA". It matches the Rfam family "Bacterial small subunit ribosomal RNA", at positions 355 to 774 of the family's 1533-position model. The record is from RNAcentral.